UUAACUUGUUAAAUCAUAAAAAUUUAUUUCCAAAAAAGUAUACUGGAAACAUCCGGAUGUAGAGUUAUAAUAAAAAAAUGAAAGCAAAACAUGAAAGAAGAGAAACUCUUAAACUUACAGCACAGCUGCUGAUGCAAGUAAAAAUGGUGGUAUGUACAGAUACUGACAAGUGUUGGGAUGUGGCUAUUAUCACUGACCAUCUGG
Molecule: long non-coding RNA, 204 nt
Filed under: Nannospalax galili (Upper Galilee mountains blind mole rat)
Lineage: Eukaryota; Metazoa; Chordata; Mammalia; Rodentia; Spalacidae
Description: DLG2 antisense RNA 1 conserved region 1 (ENSNGAG00000005877.1)
Rfam family: DLG2 antisense RNA 1 conserved region 1
Source: RNAcentral